This 131-nucleotide small nucleolar RNA is filed under the name Mus caroli (Ryukyu mouse). Its description in RNAcentral is "predicted gene, 22778 (MGP_CAROLIEiJ_G0035992.1)". It matches the Rfam family "Small nucleolar RNA SNORA17". Rfam says of the family: snoRNA ACA 17 belongs to the H/ACA family of snoRNAs and is predicted to guide pseudouridylation of the 28S rRNA at positions U4659 and U4598. It shares the same host gene together with ACA43. Lineage: Eukaryota; Metazoa; Chordata; Mammalia; Rodentia; Muridae. The record is from RNAcentral.
CCUGCACCUAGAGGCACUGCAGGUACAGCUGCUGUGCUAUAUGUGUGCCAGUAGGUGGCAGAGAGGAGAGAUGCUAUGUCUAAGCUCGGUGUCUGACCAGUGAAUGGCUGAGUGGUUAGUAGCCUAACAUU